AGUUGAACGCUGAAGGAGGAGCUUGCUUCUCCGGAUGAGUUGCGAACGGGUGAGUAACGCGUAGGUAACCUGCCUGGUAGCGGGGGAUAACUAUUGGAAACGAUAGCUAAUACCGCAUAAGAGUAGAUGUUGCAUGACAUUUGCUUAAAAGGUGCAAUUGCAUCACUACCAGAUGGACCUGCGUUGUAUUAGCUAGUUGGUGGGGUAACGGCUCACCAAGGCGACGAUACAUAGCCGACCUGAGAGGGUGAUCGGCCACACUGGGACUGAGACACGGCCCAGACUCCUACGGGAGGCAGCAGUAGGGAAUCUUCGGCAAUGGACGGAAGUCUGACCGAGCAACGCCGCGUGAGUGAAGAAGGUUUUCGGAUCGUAAAGCUCUGUUGUAAGAGAAGAACGAGUGUGAGAGUGGAAAGUUCACACUGUGACGGUAUCUUACCAGAAAGGGACGGCUAACUACGUGCCAGCAGCCGCGGUAAUACGUAGGUCCCGAGCGUUGUCCGGAUUUAUUGGGCGUAAAGCGAGCGCAGGCGGUUAGAUAAGUCUGAAGUUAAAGGCUGUGGCUUAACCAUAGUACGCUUUGGAAACUGUUUAACUUGAGUGCAAGAGGGGAGAGUGGAAUUCCAUGUGUAGCGGUGAAAUGCGUAGAUAUAUGGAGGAACACCGGUGGCGAAAGCGGCUCUCUG
This 686-nucleotide ribosomal RNA is filed under the name uncultured Streptococcaceae bacterium. Its description in RNAcentral is "bacterial SSU rRNA". It matches the Rfam family "Bacterial small subunit ribosomal RNA", at positions 60 to 731 of the family's 1533-position model. Lineage: Bacteria; Bacillati; Bacillota; Bacilli; Lactobacillales; Streptococcaceae. The record is from RNAcentral.